AACGAACGCUGGCGGCAUGCCUAACACAUGCAAGUCGAACGAGACCUCCGGGUCUUGUGGCGCAUGGCUGCGUCGCGCGUGGGAACCUGCCCUUAGGUUCGGAAUACCUCCCCGAAUGGGGUGCUAAUACCGGAUAAUGUCUUAGGACCAAGGAUUUAUUGCCUUUGGUUGGGCCGGCGUUGGAUUAGCUAGUGAGUAGGGUAAAAGCUUACUAAGGCGACGAUGCAUAGCUGGUCUGAGAGGAUGAUCACCCACUCUGGGACGGGGACACGGCCCAGACUCUUACGGAAGGGAGGAGAGGGGAAUAGUGGACCACCGGCGAAGGGCUGAUCGAGCAAUGCCGGGUGAGUUAUGAAGGCAGUAGAGAAGUAAUGCUCUUUUACCCGGGAAGAUAAUGACGGUACCGGGAGAAUAAGCCCCGGCUAACUACGUG
RNAcentral lists this ribosomal RNA (433 nucleotides) under uncultured bacterium. RNAcentral's name for it is "partial 16S ribosomal RNA". It matches the Rfam family "Bacterial small subunit ribosomal RNA", at positions 29 to 507 of the family's 1533-position model. The record is from RNAcentral.